GACGAGGGGUCCAAGCGUUGUUCGGAAUUAUUGGGCGUAAAGCGGGCGUAGGUGGAUCUAUAAGUCAGGAGUGAAAGCCCCGAGCUUAACUUGGGAAGUGCUUUUGAUACUGUAGAUCUUGAAUGUGGGAGAGGAUCGUGGAAUUCCAGGUGUAGUGGUGAAAUACGUAGAUAUUCGGAGGAACACCAGUGGCGAAGGCGGCUCACUGGUCCAUUACUGACGCUGAGGUGCGAAAGCGUGGGGAGCAAACAGG
RNAcentral lists this ribosomal RNA (253 nucleotides) under uncultured bacterium. RNAcentral's name for it is "partial 16S ribosomal RNA". It matches the Rfam family "Bacterial small subunit ribosomal RNA", at positions 524 to 776 of the family's 1533-position model. The record is from RNAcentral.